RNAcentral lists this ribosomal RNA (772 nucleotides) under uncultured organism. RNAcentral's name for it is "bacterial SSU rRNA". It matches the Rfam family "Bacterial small subunit ribosomal RNA", at positions 571 to 1347 of the family's 1533-position model. The record is from RNAcentral.
GCAGGCUGUAAAGCAAGUCAGUGGUGAAAGCCCUGGGCUUAACUCAGGGAUUGCCAUUGAAACUGUUUUACUAGAGUGUAGUAGAGGACGGCGGAAUGAGUUGUGUAGCGGUGAAAUGCAUAGAUAUAACUCAGAACACCUAUUGCGUAGGCAGCUGUCUAUACUACAACUGACGCUGAGGCACGAAAGCGUGGGGAGCGAACAGGAUUAGAUACCCUGGUAGUCCACGCUGUAAACGAUGAUCACUCGUUGUUGGCUACUUAGUAGUCAGUGACCAAGGGAAACCGAUAAGUGAUCCACCUGGGGAGUACGUCGGCAACGAUGAAACUCAAAGGAAUUGACGGGGGCCCGCACAAGCGGAGGAACAUGUGGUUUAAUUCGAUGAUACGCGAGGAACCUUACCUGGGCUUAAAUGCUGGCUGCAUUGGAGGGAAACCUUCAUUUCCUACGGGACCGCCAGCAAGGUGCUGCAUGGUUGUCGUCAGCUCGUGCCGUGAGGUGUCGGGUUAAGUCCCAUAACGAGCGCAACCCCUAUCGCUAGUUGCCAGCAUGUAAUGGUGGGGACUCUAGCGAGACUGCCGGUGUAAACCGGAGGAAGGUGGGGAUGACGUCAAAUCAGCACGGCCCUUACGUCCAGGGCUACACACGUGUUACAAUGGCCGGUACAAAGAGCAGCCACCUGGCGACAGGGCGCUAAUCUCUAAAACCGGUCUCAGUUCGGAUCGAAGUCUGCAAUUCGACUUCGUGAAGGUGGAUUCGCUAGUGAUCGCGC